Molecule: transfer RNA, 80 nt
Filed under: Lachnospiraceae bacterium
Lineage: Bacteria; Bacillati; Bacillota; Clostridia; Lachnospirales; Lachnospiraceae
Description: tRNA-Leu
Rfam family: tRNA
About the family: Transfer RNA (tRNA) molecules are approximately 80 nucleotides in length.
Source: RNAcentral
GCCUGGUUGGUGGAAUUGGCAGACACGCCAGAUUCAAACCCUGGUGGGAAACCGUAAGAGUUCGACUCUCUUACCAGGCA